GAUGAAGAACGCAGCGAAAUGCGAUAAGUAGUGUGAAUUGCAGAAUUCCGUGAAUCAUCGAAUCUUUGAACGCACAUUGCGCCUUCUGGUAUUCCGGAAGGCAUGCCUGUUCGAGAGUCAUUAACAACCGUUUCGAUCCCUUUCUUUCAGAAAUUACAAAGAGGAAAAGGGUUUGGUUAUGGUGGAGGAGGGAAAGGGAGCGUUUAGCCUGUAAAAAAAGAGGCUGUGUUCCGCCUCCCCCCCAAAAUUGUACAGGCGGUCGUGUGCGCCCACGCAUCGAGGUGUUGUAAAAGCUGCCACGGCACUUUUCACCUGUGCAGUGCGAGAUUGGCCAGCCGGUUUAAAAACCCCUCCAAACAAUCAAAGGUUGACCUCGGAACAGGUAGGGAUACCCGCUGAACUUAAGCAUAUCAAUAAGCGGAGGA
This 425-nucleotide unclassified non-coding RNA is filed under the name soil metagenome. Its description in RNAcentral is "partial contains 5.8S ribosomal RNA, internal transcribed spacer 2, and large subunit ribosomal RNA". The stretch from base 1 to 120 matches the Rfam family "5.8S ribosomal RNA", at positions 35 to 154 of the family's 154-position model. The record is from RNAcentral.